This 1346-nucleotide ribosomal RNA is filed under the name uncultured bacterium. Its description in RNAcentral is "bacterial SSU rRNA". It matches the Rfam family "Bacterial small subunit ribosomal RNA", at positions 28 to 1381 of the family's 1533-position model. The record is from RNAcentral.
GACGAACGCUGGCGGCGUGCUUAACACAUGCAAGUCGAACGGAAAGGCCCUGCUUUUGUGGGGUGCUCGAGUGGCGAACGGGUGAGUAACACGUGAGUAACCUGCCCUUGACUUUGGGAUAACUUCAGGAAACUGGGGCUAAUACCGGAUAGGAGCUCCUGCUGCAUGGUGGGGGUCGGAAAGUUUCGGCGGUUGGGGAUGGACUCGCGGCUUAUCAGCUUGUUGGUGGGGUAGUGGCUUACCAAGGCUUUGACGGGUAGCCGGCCUGAGAGGGUGACCGGCCACAUUGGGACUGAGAUACGGCCCAGACUCCUACGGGAGGCAGCAGUGGGGAAUAUUGCACAAUGGGCGGAAGCCUGAUGCAGCAACGCCGCGUGCGGGAUGACGGCCUUCGGGUUGUAAACCGCUUUCGCCUGUGACGAAGCGUGAGUGACGGUAAUGGGUAAAGAAGCACCGGCUAACUACGUGCCAGCAGCCGCGGUGAUACGUAGGGUGCGAGCGUUGUCCGGAUUUAUUGGGCGUAAAGGGCUCGUAGGUGGUUGAUCGCGUCGGAAGUGUAAUCUUGGGGCUUAACCCUGAGCGUGCUUUCGAUACGGGUUGACUUGAGGAAGGUAGGGGAGAAUGGAAUUCCUGGUGGAGCGGUGGAAUGCGCAGAUAUCAGGAGGAACACCAGUGGCGAAGGCGGUUCUCUGGGCCUUUCCUGACGCUGAGGAGCGAAAGCGUGGGGAGCGAACAGGCUUAGAUACCCUGGUAGUCCACGCUGUAAACGGUGGGUACUAGGUGUGGGGUCCAUUCCACGGGUUCCGUGCCGUAGCUAACGCUUUAAGUACCCCGCCUGGGGAGUACGGCCGCAAGGCUAAAACUCAAAGGAAUUGACGGGGCCCCGCACAAGCGGCGGAGCAUGCGGAUUAAUUCGAUGCAACGCGUAGAACCUUACCUGGGUUUGACAUGGAUCGGGAGCGCUCAGAGAUGGGUGUGCCUCUUUUGGGGUCGGUUCACAGGUGGUGCAUGGCUGUCGUCAGCUCGUGUCGUGAGAUGUUGGGUUAAGUCCCGCAACGAGCGCAACCCUUGUUCACUGUUGCCAGCACGUUAUGGUGGGGACUCAGUGGAGACCGCCGGGGUCAACUCGGAGGAAGGUGGGGAUGACGUCAAGUCAUCAUGCCCCUUAUGUCCAGGGCUUCACGCAUGCUACAAUGGCUGGUACAGAGAGUGGCGAGCCUGUGAGGGUGAGCGAAUCUCGGAAAGCCGGUCUCAGUUCGGAUUGGGGUCUGCAACUCGACCUCAUGAAGUCGGAGUCGCUAGUAAUCGCAGAUCAGCAACGCUGCGGUGAAUACGUUCCCGGGGCU